CGUCUAGCUCAAAAAGGAUAGUCGAAUUCGGGGCGUGGAAAGAAAAAGUGAGGAGUAAAACCCGGAGCCCAGGGUAAUUGGCAAAUAAAUGAUGAAAAGAGAUAAAGAGUAAAAGAGACAAAGUGAAAAAGAGAAAAAGGCUGAGAUGGCCCAGGAAUAGAGAAGAAAAAGGCUGAGAUGGCCGAAAAAGAGAAAAAGUUAACUUAAUGUUAGGGACGACGCGAUUGGGCAUACAAACCGGUGAGGACAGUUUAAAGAAGGAAAAAAGGCCUAUAUACUAUAGUAAGGAAACACUGAGCUCAGUGAGAAGAGGUGUGCUGAAAUUUGAGUGCGUGAGAGAAGCUUCUGGUGUGUGUGUGUGCGUGCGUGCGUGCGUGCGUGCGUGCGUGCGUGCGUGCGUGCGUGCGUGCGUGCGUGCGUGCGUGCGUGCGCGCGCGUGUGUGUGUGUGUGUGUGUACACAAAGUUGGGGAAUGAUCUAGCAUAGGUUUAAGUGAUUAACUUAUGAUAAAGUGAUAAAUGAUGUCUUAUUAAAUAUAUAAUGAUAUGAUAUAAGAAAUUACCGUAUAAGGGAAGAGAUACUGUUGCCUUUGUAGUGCUAAAAAAAACAUAUGAGCCCUGGUUUCUUUGUACAGGGACGUUAAUAGAAUAGGUAACUGCUAUGAGCCUCUCAGGAUAAAGAGGACGUUUGUACACCUAAUAGUAAGAAAUGAGCCCCUUAUUAGAUGAGGAGGACUUUGGAUGGUGAUAACAUGCUCGAUUAAAAUGACAAUUAAAGAAGUGUACACAAGCACAUUUUUGUUCAUACAGAUACAGGAAAAAACAGAGUGAAAGAUUGGAAUGAUUUGCUGACUGAUGGGUGUGGUUUCCCUCUGUGUGUGUGUGAAUAUUUAAAGUGAAUGGUCACUUGCUGAUGAUCAUGUUUAGAGGGAAGUCCUAGUUAAAAAUUGGAAAAAUCCAGGAAGCUUUUCCUCCCUCUUUCUUUCUCUUCUUACAGGCCUGAGAACAGAAAGAAAGCUAAAAAAUCUAGUUUAACUAUCCUAGUUGCGUGAAAAUUUUAAAUGAUAUACCAUGAUAAGGGGAUUGGGGUAUAAUAAAUUUAGGUAGUCUUAUGGUAGAAGAAAUCUUUAAAUAGUGGUAGUAAACGUUUUAAAUUGUAUUGAAUGAAGUGAUUGUAAUGUACUAAACAUUUGAUUUGUCUUUUGUCCCUAACUCUGAUGCAUGAGCGGGGAGAGGAGAAUGAAAGGAGUCUGACGUUGGAGCUCCCAUGAGACAGAUAAGAAGAUAAAUGGCUGUGCUGCAAACAAGAGAGGGCUUGCGGAUGAGAGGCUCACCAGGUCCUGCUCCCAUUUGACAGGCCAGUACAGUUUUGUCUACAAACUCUUCUCCGAUGUGUCUGCUGCUACUUAGUUGUACAUACACACAUUAAUAGUGGGAACACAUUUAGUUGGGUGUUUAUAUUUGUUAGUGCUAGACAAUAAGAGCAGUAGUUUUGUUGGUAAAAAGAAAGGCUUGGCAAUAGAAAUAUUGCAUAACCAGAUUUAUUAACCCAGUCUGUUAAUGUUCACUUUUAAUUCAUAGAUGAUUGAACCAAAAAAAUAGUAAUUUACUUUUUUAUCUUUGGAUUUACUGAGAAAACUGUUCUGCUCACAGCUGUGGUCAAUUUACUCAUGUUGUAUUUUAUUUGUCAUUUCAUUUUAGAGAGGAGAUGAAACCAGACCAGAUGAUAGCAGACCAGACCAGAGAGGAGCUGAGGGGGCAGCCUGCAUCACAAACUAUCUUCAAAAGAAAGGUAAAUUUUUUUUUUUUAAAUUCCUCCUUAUUUACUGGUAACUGUUACAUUAUUUUACAAGUAUCUGAAAAUUUUAAUUAACCUUCCCUUUUUUUCUCUCCAAGUUAUUUGUCUGUUAUAGAAAUGAAACAAGCCUAGACCAAACUGGAGAAGACCAGAGUGGACCAGAUGAUAGCAGACCAGACCAGAGAGGAGCUGAGGGGACAGCCUGCAUCGCAAACCAUCUUUAAAAAAAAGAUACAUUAACUUUAUUCUAAUAUAUUAUUCUAAUUCAUUUCCGGAUGUAUUUUUAAAUUUAGGAUUCAAAUGUUAGUAUUUAAGGUUAAGUAAUGCUUCUACUAUUACAAUUACUUAUACUUUUACUCUGGAAUUUAUUUGUGUGUCAUAUAGUGGAGAAGACAGAAACCAGACUAGACCAGAGACCAAGACUGGAGAACAGAGUGGAGACCAGAUGAGUCCAGACCAGAGAAGAGCUGAGGGGGCAGCCGACAUCGCGAACUGACAAAAAAAAAAAAAGAUAAAUAUAUUUUAUCCUUAAUUUCAAUCACAAUUGUUUUACUGUACAAUUGUUUCAGUUGGAGUCUUCAGUGGUGUUAUAACUUUUCUUUUUCCUCUUAUGUGAUUUGUCUUGUACAGAGAAGACAGAAAACCAGUCCAGACCAGAUACCAGCUGAGGGGGCAGCAUACCUUACAAGCCAUCUUUAAAAAAUAACGUAAGUUUUUCCCAUGCCAUAUUUUUUUUUUGUUUUGAUCAAAAUUACUUCACUGUAAAUAUUAUUAUUUCAAAAUUGUCUUCACUUGUUAACUUCUUUUGUCUCCCACAUUAUUUGUCCUUUACAGAAAGGAAACAAGUCUAGACCAGACUGGAGGUGUAUAGAUAAUGUCUGAAACCAGCGUGUUCGUUUUUGUGGUCAGUUGGAGUGGAACAUGAAGCUGUGGUGGCCUCACUGUGAAGCUCUCAUCACCUACCUGAUGACCUACAGUCACACUAAGAGACCAGAGCUGCUGGAGAGAUUCUCUCAGGUGUAUGAGUACACCUUCAGUCACGUGAGUUAUUACUGAGGGAAACGUACCCGAGGAAAAAUCUCAUGCUACACCUCUGAAGUGUUAAAUGUCAACAAAUGACCGUCACGAUGACUUGUAACUUAUGAAGCCUCACUUAAGAAGCACUGAAAUAUUCCUUUAAUGUUCAUAUUGUAGAAACAUUGGGUAGAAUAGAAAAGAAAAGAAGUUGUAGAGAAGAAAAAAGAUGUUAAAAUAGACGAAAAAGAGAUGCCAAAAAUAGAAUAGCAGAGACUAGUAAUGGGAGUGUGCUAAAUAACCGUGCAAGAUUAACGAAGACAGGGCCCAUAUCUUCUUAACGGUAAGACAAUGUGUAAAUUAGUGACUACUGUGAACGUCUAGCUCAAAAAGGAUAGUCGAAUUCGGGGCGUGGAAAGAAAAAGUGAGGAGUAAAACCCGGAGCCCAAGAUAAUUGGCAAAUAAAUGAUGAAAAGAGAUAAAGAGUAAAAGAGACAAAGUGAAAAAGAGAAAAAGGCUGAGAUGGCCAAAAAAGAGAAAAAGUUAACUUAAUGUUAGGGACGACGCGAUUGGGCAUACAAACCGAUAAGGACAGUUUAAAGAAGAAAAAAAGGCCUAUAUACUAUAGUAAGGAAACAUUGAGCUCAGUGAGAAGAGGUGUGCUGAAAUUUGAGUGUGUGAGAGAAGCUUCUGGUGUGUGUGUGUGUGUGUGUGUGUGUGUGUGUGUGUGUGUGUGUGUGUGUGUGUGUGUGUGUGUGUGUGUGUGUGUGUGUGUGUGUGUGUGUGUGUGUGUGUGUGGGUGCUGAGCUGUGAGUGUGAGUGCAAAAGAGUCUGUGUGCAGUGAGUGGUGUGUACACAAAGUUGGGGAAUGAUCUAGCAUAGGUUUAAGUGAUUAACUUAUGAUAAAGUGAUAAAUGAUGUCUUAUUAAAUAUAUAAUGAUAUGAUAUAAGAAAUUAACAUAUAAGGGAAGAGAUACUGUUGCCUUUGUAGUGCUAAAAAAAACAUAUGAGCCCUGGUUUCUUUGUACAGGGACGUUAAUAGAAUAAGUAACUGCUAUGAGCCUCUCAGGAUAAAGAGGACGUUUGUACAGCUAAUAGUAAGAAAUUAGCCCCUUAUUAGAUGAGGAGGACUUUGGAUGGUG
Xyrichtys novacula (pearly razorfish) is the source of this 3952-nucleotide non-coding RNA. The record is from the annotation of a GenBank genome assembly. Lineage: Eukaryota; Metazoa; Chordata; Actinopteri; Labriformes; Labridae.